Macaca mulatta (Rhesus monkey) is the source of this 2024-nucleotide non-coding RNA. NCBI's taxonomy places the organism in Eukaryota, Metazoa, Chordata, Mammalia, Primates, Cercopithecidae. The record is from RefSeq and is a predicted model, not a curated record.
AAAGGAUUUUGCUUCGUUAAAAUUUCUGAGUCAUCAUUUUGGCAAAAUAUAUAAUUUAUGGUAAUCUGGAAUUCCAAAAUCAAACUUCAGUUUCAAAAUUCUCUUUCCAAAUGCCUCGCUUUUUGGAUGGAUCAGAGAGCCCUUGAAAACAUCCAGAAAAGAGAGACCAUCAAGCUUCACAUAAUCAUGCAACAAAGGUUCCAGCCGGUUCCAAGUGAAGACACCAGCCCUGGCCAUCAAGAAGCUACCUUGCCUCCACCAGACAGAGCAGGGCGAGAGUUCCAUGAUCCUCAGUAGACGCCAAGAACCUGGACACCCUCCAGUGGUGACAAGAAGAGACUACAGAUUUCUUCCUCAUGAAAAUAAGAAAACAACCAGGAACUUUCUGAAAUUUCUGUAAUAUGUGAAGCAGAGGGAGUCAAGUUGAAAGAAAAGGCCAUUAAUGCUGAAACACCUAUGUUGUCAUACUGGAAAAGGAAGGACUUUCAGAGAAAUAUGUAAAUAAUUUCCUCCCACUCUGUCCCAAGCCAAGGGAAGAAGUUUCUGAAAGUAAGAGCUUUGGGGAGGGAAUUGUGUGAAAAUUGGAAAGGGACAAAGAAGAAUAUUGGUGCGUCAAAUGCACUUCAAAAGGUAAAGUGAGGAACUUAACAUUACAGGUUCUUGAUGUUGUUAGUAUGAAAAUGAAACGAGGAAAAAUCUCUAACUAGUUUUGUUUUGAUAAAACACUCAGGAGUGAAAAUCACUAAGGUUUUAGUAUAAGCUUUUAGUAUAACCCUACUAAAUCACUAAGCUUUUAGUAUAACCCUACUUUCAACUUAUAGCUCUUACCAAAUGAAAUCACUUCUAAGAAACCACAGCAGGGCCACAGAAGAACCUGGCCACCAGAAGGUCUAGCUGCAGCAUUUUACCCCCAAGUUUGCUUAUUCAGGAAAUUCAAUUCAAUUCAUUCAUUGAAUGGAUUGAACUUUAAUACUAAACCAGGCUCAUUGCCACUUCCUGAGGAUUGAUCAGAUGAUCGUGAAAAUCAAUGAAAUAUUGAUCUAUACAAUUGCUGAAGGAGUCCAAUAAAAACAAAUGUCAAUAUGACUCAUUUGUUUUUAUUUUUUAAAUCAAGGGUGCAUAUAAUAAUUCCCUGAAAAGUUUUCUUAAAAUACCCUGGAUCAUAGGCCUCUCUGGAUUUCCUGAUUCUGAUUUGGGACAUGCCAAGGUGUGUCAGGCAAGCACAGUUUUAGAAAAUAAAAAUCUCAGCAUGUAAUUAUGAAGCAUAACACAUAUUGAGAACUGCUGAUGUAGAUUAUCACAUGCAAGCAUAAGUAGAUUCAGUACAGAGGUUGAUUCAGUACAGAGGUUGAGGUCCUCUGAUUCAGUACAGAGGUUGAGGUCCCCAGGGAAAGGAAGUUGAUGCCCAAUGCAAAAGAUUACAUUAAUAAUUUGUCUUGGACAGCUCAGGCUACCAUAACAGAAUACCAUAGACUGCAUGACUUAGAAAUUUAUUUUCUCACAAUUCUGGAGGCUUGUUCAACUCCAAAAUUUGUUUCCUGGUGAGGACCUUCUUCCUGACUUGCAGACAGCCACCUUCUCACUUUGUCUUCAAGUGGCAGGUUGGGGAGGAGGAGACAGAAAGUGGUGAGAGAAAGUGACAAAGAGAUCUUUAUUUUUUAAAAUAAAUCUACUAAUUACAUCAUGAAGACUCCACCCUCAUGACCUUCUAUGACAUUAAUUACUUCUAAAUGACUCAUCUUCAGAUAGCAUCAUAUUGGGGAUUAUGGCCUCACAUAUGAAUUUGGGAGAGAGGGGGAUAUAAUUAAGUUCAUAGCAUAGUUUAAUUUGUAUUAUCAGUGUGAUUCAAGAUGUUGUUAAAUUAUCCAGAGUAGGCUGUAGUAUAAAAUGAACUAUCAGAGUAACUUUUAGAUAAAAACAGUGCAGAAAAUUCUAGCACCAUGCUUGAAAAUGAAUGCAAUAGAGAAAAAGUUAUAAAGAGAGAAAAACUAUAGAAAAAAAUUAUCAAUUUGGGAAAAAAUAGG